This 344-nucleotide ribosomal RNA is filed under the name uncultured bacterium. Its description in RNAcentral is "bacterial SSU rRNA". It matches the Rfam family "Bacterial small subunit ribosomal RNA", at positions 8 to 334 of the family's 1533-position model. The record is from RNAcentral.
AGGGUUUGAUUCUGGCUCAGGACGAACGCUGGCGGCGUGCCUAACACAUGCAAGUCGAACGAAGCACUGUGGAUAGAGACUUCGGUCAAUUGAAGCUUUGACUUAGUGGCGGACGGGUGAGUAACGCGUGAGGAACCUGCCUUUCAGUGGGGGACAACAGUUGGAAACGACUGCUAAUACCGCAUAAUGUGUUUUGGGGGCAUCCCCGGAACACCAAAGAUUUAUUGCUGAAAGAUGGCCUCGCGUCUGAUUAGAUAGUUGGUGGGGUAACGGCCUACCAAGUCGACGAUCAGUAGCCGGACUGAGAGGUUGAACGGCCACAUUGGGACUGAGAUACGGCCCAG